This 468-nucleotide ribosomal RNA is filed under the name uncultured bacterium. RNAcentral's name for it is "partial 16S ribosomal RNA". It matches the Rfam family "Bacterial small subunit ribosomal RNA", at positions 28 to 507 of the family's 1533-position model. The record is from RNAcentral.
GACGAACGCUGGCGGCGUGCUUAACACAUGCAAGUCGAACGGAAAGGCCCUGCUUUUGUGGGGUGCUCGAGUGGCGAACGGGUGAGUAACACGUGAGUAACCUGCCCUUGACUUUGGGAUAACUUCAGGAAACUGGGGCUAAUACCGGAUAGGAGCUCCUGCUGCAUGGUGGGGGUUGGAAAGUUUCGGCGGUUGGGGAUGGACUCGCGGCCUAUCAGCUUGUUGGUGGGGUAGUGGCCUACCAAGGCUUUGACGGGUAGCCGGCCUGAGAGGGUGACCGGCCACAUUGGGACUGAGAUACGGCCCAGACUCCUACGGGAGGCAGCAGUGGGGAAUAUUGCACAAUGGGCGGAAGCCUGAUGCAGCAACGCCGCGUGCGGGAUGACGGCCUUCGGGUUGUAAACCGCUUUCGCCUGUGACGAAGCGUGAGUGACGGUAAUGGGUAAAGAAGCACCGGCUAACUACGUG